Small nucleolar RNA from Nannospalax galili (Upper Galilee mountains blind mole rat), 214 nucleotides. The record is from Ensembl. Lineage: Eukaryota; Metazoa; Chordata; Mammalia; Rodentia; Spalacidae.
AAGACUAUACUUUCAGGGAUCAUUUCUAUAGUUCAUUACUAGAGAAGUUUCUCUGCUCUGUAGAGUACUGGAAACCAUGAGGAGGACAGGUAGCAGUCUCUCCUGAGCGUGAAGCCUGCAUUUGGUGUUGCUUCGCUGCAACUGCCUUUUGCUAUUGAUGAUAGUUCUUCUCUCUUUUGGGAGAGUAGAGGGAGAGGAUGCAGUCUGAGUGGUA